GUGUGGGGGUGCUUUGCUGGUGACACUGUUGUGGAUUUAUUUAAAAUUGAAGGCAUACUGAACCAGCAUGGCUACCACAGCAUCUUGCAGCGGAAUGCUAUUCCAUCCGGUUGGCGUUUAGUUGGACCAUCAUUUAUUUUUCAACAGGACAAUGACCCCAAACACACCUCCUGGCUGUGUAAGGGCUAUUUGACCAAGAAGGAGAGUGAUGGGGUGCUGCGCCAGAUGACCUGGCCUCCACAGUCACCGGACCUGAACCCAAUCGAGAUGGUUUGGGGUGAGCUGGACCGCAGAGUGAAGGCAAAAGAGCCAACAAGUGCUAAGCAUCUCUGGGAACUCCUUCAAGACUGUUGGAACACCAUUUCAGCUCCCGCUGUUCUUUCUGCAUCUGUUUGUGGCGAGCCUCCAUGUCCUCGGUUAAACUUCUGAUCUCCUGUCGUCGUUGGGCGAUCUCCUUCCUCAUCUCAUCACAGCUCUCCUUCAGAGUCAGACUCGCGGAGCUUGUUGUGGAACUGAAGGAGCUGCUGCCUCAUGCGGCUGACCUCUGUGUCCUGGCCCUCUGGAAACAACUCAGCUUUCUCCAGCUCCUGCUGCUGAC
This is a long non-coding RNA of Pygocentrus nattereri (red-bellied piranha), 598 nucleotides long. RefSeq lists it as uncharacterized. The transcript has 3 exons. NCBI's taxonomy places the organism in Eukaryota, Metazoa, Chordata, Actinopteri, Characiformes, Serrasalmidae. The record is from RefSeq and is a predicted model, not a curated record.